AUGUUUCCUGUAGCUCUGCUGCUGCUGCUGUUGGCAGCUGGAUCCUGUGUGAAGGGUGAAACAUUGACACAGCCAGCCUCUGUGACUGUGCAGCCAGGUCAACGUCUGACCAUCACCUGUCAGGUCUCUUAUUCUGUUAGUAGCUAUUACACAGGUUGGAUCAGGCAGCCUGCAGGAAAAGGACUGGAGUGGAUUGGAGGCUCACGACAUGGAUACAACACAUACUACAAAGAUUCACUGAAGAACAAAUUCAGUAUCGACUUACACACUUCCAGCAACACAGUGACUCUGAAUGGACAGAAUAUGCAGCCUGAAGACACUGCAGUGUAUUACUGUCUUGGAUCAGGCAGCCUGCAGGGAAAGGACUGGAGUGGAUUGGAAUGA
Solea senegalensis (Senegalese sole) is the source of this 384-nucleotide non-coding RNA. The record is from the annotation of a RefSeq genome assembly. NCBI's taxonomy places the organism in Eukaryota, Metazoa, Chordata, Actinopteri, Pleuronectiformes, Soleidae.